GACGGAGGGCGCGAGCGUUGUUCGGAAUUACUGGGCGUAAAGCGCGCGUAGGCGGCCAUUUAAGCUAGAUGUGAAAGCCCAGGGCUUAACCUUGGAAUUGCAUUUAGAACUGGAUGGCUAGAGUACGGUAGAGGGUAGUGGAAUUUCCUGUGUAGCGGUGAAAUGCGUAGAUAUAGGAAGGAACACCAGUGGCGAAGGCGGCGCCCUGGCCUUAGACUGACGCUGAGGCACGAAAGCGUGGGGAGCAAACAGG
RNAcentral lists this ribosomal RNA (253 nucleotides) under uncultured bacterium. Its description in RNAcentral is "partial 16S ribosomal RNA". It matches the Rfam family "Bacterial small subunit ribosomal RNA", at positions 524 to 776 of the family's 1533-position model. The record is from RNAcentral.